GACGAACGCUGGCGGCACGCUUAACACAUGCAAGUCGAACGAAAAUGUUUCACCGUAGCUUGCUACACCGAGACAUUUUAGUGGCGGACGGGUGAGUAACACGUGAGGAACCUGCCUAUCAGAGAGGGAUACCGUUUGGAAACGAACGUUAAUACCUCAUAACGUAACGAGAUCGCAUGAUAAUGUUACCAAAGAUUUAUCGCUGAUAGAUGGCCUCGCGUCUGAUUAGAUAGUUGGUGAGGUAACGGCUCACCAAGUCGACGAUCAGUAGCCGGACUGAGAGGUUGAACGGCCACAUUGGGACUGAGACACGGCCCAGACUCCUACGGGAGGCAGCAGUGGGGAAUAUUGCACAAUGGAGGAAACUCUGAUGCAGCGAUGCCGCGUGAGGGAAGAAGGUUUUCGGAUUGUAAACCUCUGUCUUCAGGGACGAUAAUGACGGUACCUGAGGAGGAAGCUCCGGCUAACUACGUGCCAGCAGCCGC
Molecule: ribosomal RNA, 485 nt
Filed under: uncultured bacterium
Lineage: Bacteria
Description: bacterial SSU rRNA
Rfam family: Bacterial small subunit ribosomal RNA
Source: RNAcentral